UCAUCAACAGAUAAUGGAAGGCCACUGAAGGCUUUCUGAACAGGAGUAGAAUCUUUUUAUAUUUUAAAACUAGUAGACUACAGUAAGUGAGGAAGAUGGAGGGAUGAAAGACGACAACUUUUGUUCAUUUGUUUGUUUGUUUUGCCUGGGUGACUAUCUGCAUGAUGGUAUCUGCUAGAGAUAGGGAAGUCAGAAGAAAGGGCCAAAUCACUGGAGAAAGAAAAUGCUUUACUUGGACAGUCUGGAUGGGAAGUUCCAGUGAGUCAUCCUGGUGGCAAUGACUGGCAGAUUGUUGGAAAUGGAGGAGCUAAAGCGAGAGAGGCUAAGAAUAGAGAUAUGGAUUUGGGAGUUAGUGGCAAAUAGAGUUAAACUAUGGGAAUGUAUAUGAUGGCCUGAGAAGAAAUUAUAGGAGAAGUAAGAAGGACUAAGGGCUGAGCCUGGGAGACAGGACAUGGAGGGGAAAGGCAGCUGAGAGGAGCCUUGAAGAAGACUGAAGAGGAAUAAUUGCUACUGAGGAGAAGCAAGGCAGUUCAGUGUGAUGGAUGCCAAAAGAUGGAGAAGUCAAGGAGGUGGCCACCUGCUGGAGAGUGCAUGUCUCCACUGCCUUCCUCAACCUCUGCAUGUGGAGUCUGCACUUGACAAGAUCAAUGGCCCAACACCACGUGGAAGCUGCCAAGGCUUGGGGUUUGCACCAUCUGAAGCCAUGGCCUGAACUCUAUGUUAGCCCCUUUCCACCAUAGCUGGAGCUGCUUGGACACAGAGCACCAAGUCCCUAGGCUGCACACAGGAGAAGGAGAGCCGCCCCAUACUAAGACUAGCAAUUAAAACUGCAAGAAGAUAACUUGGCAGGAGUCUCAACAGUGAGGCACACACGAAGUGGAGAGGAACAAAUGCUCUUAUCUCCAGCAAGAGCAAGAAAGUUUGACAGGUAGCAGUUCUCAACACAGAUAGCUGA
Molecule: long non-coding RNA, 955 nt
Filed under: Homo sapiens (human)
Lineage: Eukaryota; Metazoa; Chordata; Mammalia; Primates; Hominidae
Description: HSALNT0294637
Source: RNAcentral